RNAcentral lists this long non-coding RNA (1022 nucleotides) under Neodiprion pinetum (white pine sawfly). RNAcentral's name for it is "uncharacterized LOC124219371". The record is from RNAcentral. Lineage: Eukaryota; Metazoa; Arthropoda; Insecta; Hymenoptera; Diprionidae.
GGAAUUCUUAUUAGAAGAAAGAAAAAGAACUACUUUCCUAUACGACUAAUUAUUCGUUUUUUCACUUCAGAGAUAGUCUCUCGCUGAUUCCGAGUCCCCGAUUUAAAAUUCGAAGACUAUAGGAUCUCGGGAAUAUGAGGAAUCAUCGUCAAGAAUAACUGACAACGAGUGUCGACGGAUGCAGAACCCGAUUCAUCCCGUUCCUGUAAGGGUACGGCUGUGUAUAAUACGAUCGCAGAGUCAUUCAGCUCUGCCGAUAAUUUACCCCCAGAGGCGGGUGAUUUUAACAACGAAAUUAGUCAGUCGACUAUCGCUGCUGUCGUUAUGUUGUGAUAAAGGUAACGGACGAGUUAUUCUUGAAAUCGAACGACAGAGUUCGAGGAAAGUGUGAGUAAUUCUCAGUCGAAUAAGGAAGACCACCGCGGUAGUUUCGCUCCCACGCGCGAGGCGUCAGGGUAUCCAACGGUGGAUGCCAUUCUUCCUCUUCUUUUUUACACCAAAUUGACGUCGGCCAGCCUGGGAUCUAAAUGUACGAAUGGAUCACGGAUCACGGGACAGACCCCGCCGAUCCUCGAGGUUUCUACGGUUCGUCGCGCGUCGAAUUGCCGACGCCGCAGCCAGCGACUAAAGCAGAUCGGCUGAAACAAGGUGAAAAAGCUUUGUGCCUGCCGUAGAAGACACAAAUAAACUUCAAAAUAAAGCCGUUAAAAAGCCAAAGAGGGUGACGAUGAUCAUGGCGAGCAUAUUCUGGGGUGGCAGGAAAGGGCGAAUGGGAGACGCAUUCAUCGGGGUGAAACAGGAUAGUCGUAUCCGACUUUGUAUAGGCGAGCCGGCGGUGCACCGUCCAGCAAAAACAGGGGUAGGCGGAGCUCUCUGACGAGCCGGUAACUGCCUGUGAAUAAUUUAAUAUUAUAUGUCUUUCGUCCCCUUUCAUUCUUCGGUUGAAACCCCCGGAUCGCCCAAGUCUGUUUCCAUCCCCGAUUCCGUCUAGCCGACCACGUUUUCACCGCAGCUUCGAUUUG